This 199-nucleotide ribosomal RNA is filed under the name uncultured bacterium. RNAcentral's name for it is "partial 16S ribosomal RNA". It matches the Rfam family "Bacterial small subunit ribosomal RNA", at positions 118 to 318 of the family's 1533-position model. The record is from RNAcentral.
UGAGCAAUCUGCCCUUCACAUCGGAAUAACCAUUGGAAACGAUGGCUAAUACCGAAUAUGACUUCGGAUCGCAUGAUCUGAAGUGGAAAGCUCCGGCGGUGAAGGAUGAGCUCGCGGCCUAUCAGCUUGUUGGUGAGGUGAUAGCUCACCAAGGCGAUGACGGGUAGCCGGCCUGAGAGGGUGACCGGCCACACUGGGA